This 522-nucleotide long non-coding RNA is filed under the name Rattus norvegicus (Norway rat). RNAcentral's name for it is "long non-coding RNA NONRATT032180". The record is from RNAcentral. Lineage: Eukaryota; Metazoa; Chordata; Mammalia; Rodentia; Muridae.
AUUAAGUCCAGUUUGCAAUGCCCAUAUACCCCUGGGUAUGGGGCCAUCCACUGGACCUAGCAAGGCCCACACUUUCUCUUUUCCCAGAAUGAAUUCGCUGUCAACAGCGCCUCAGUCAGAGGUGUGGUUUGUGAGCCCCUUCGCCUCUAAGGCAACUGUCCUGUCACAUCCAAAGGACAAUGCUUUGCUCCCAACCUUGAGUAAAUAUAAGGAUCUGCUCAGACUUGGAGUUCUUACAAGGAAACAGAGCCUUGCAUACCUCAGCUGCCCUGCGGUUUCCUUUACUUCAGUCAUUACCAACCCUGUCUACUGAACCCUUUGAAGUCAUUGAUACAUAUUGUAAGAACUUCUGACUUCUGGCCUUAAAAUUGGGUCAUAGAAGCCAUGAAUCCAUUUAAAGUCCCACUUCAGUUUUUCUGUGCUCCAAUAUAGUUCUGUCCCUUGUGUGCUCUGGGGAUGUUAUUCUUUCCCAGAAUGCCCCUCUUUACAGAGGACUUUUGACUGAUCUUAAAAUAAAAUGAG